This 295-nucleotide long non-coding RNA is filed under the name Elaeis guineensis (African oil palm). RNAcentral describes it as "long non-coding RNA (EGUI_LNC024146)". The record is from RNAcentral. Lineage: Eukaryota; Viridiplantae; Streptophyta; Magnoliopsida; Arecales; Arecaceae.
UUGGUAAUUUUGAUUUUGUUACAAAAGGAGAUGUACUAUUAUGCGUUAUAUUGUACAUGAAAUUCCUUUCAACCUACCAACCAUUGUGAUCAAAGUAAUGUAGGAGACAGCUUCUCAUGUUAAAUCAGCUCUACUUUAUGGGAUGUUCUCACUUUUGCAUUCAAGGAGUUUAGAAUCAACAUUGAUGGUGAACUCUCAAAAAAAAAUUAUAGCAUUUCGAUACUUACAAUGAGCACUCACUAAGCAGAAUGGGUUACAUUAAAAUUAAUAGUCAUUGGAUCCGAAAGGAGGGGAA